CUGAUCCAGCCAUGCCGCGUGUAGGAAGACGGCCCUAUGGGUUGUAAACUNCUUUUAUACGGGAAGAAACCUAUCCUCGUGAGGAUNGCUGACGGUACCGUAAGAAUAAGNANCGGCUAACUCCGUGCCAGCAGCCGCGUAAU
This 143-nucleotide ribosomal RNA is filed under the name uncultured bacterium. RNAcentral describes it as "partial 16S ribosomal RNA". It matches the Rfam family "Bacterial small subunit ribosomal RNA", at positions 383 to 524 of the family's 1533-position model. The record is from RNAcentral.